GGACAGGGCCAUCCCAGGGCAGUCCACGAACACUUGGAUAUCUGGAGGGGUUACACAGACACAGGACACCCGUGGGCACAUGGGGCUAGGACACUGGGGGUACACAGGGACAGGGGCACCCACCGGGGGGGCACAGGACAUCCCUGGACACACGGACACAGGAUCCCGAGGGUACACAGGGACAGGAACCCCCCCGGGGACCACACGGACACAGCACCACGGGGGAAGACAGACACCCCGGGGGGACACACGGACAUAGGACACGUGAGGACACACGGAGACAGGACACGGGGGGACACACGGACACAGACACCCCCGGGGGACACACGGACACAGGACACGGGGGGACACACGGACACCCCCGGGGGACACACGGACACAGGACACGGGGGGACACACGGACACCCCCGGGGGACACACGGACACAGGACACGGGGGGACACACGGACACCCCCGGGGGACACACGGACACAGGACCCCGCGGGUCCCCGCUGUGCCGGCGCCGCCAGGGGGCGCCGUUGCUCUGAGCGGCGGCGCGCGGCCCCCGCCUGUCCCCCCCCCCCCCCCCCCCUCGGCCGCGGCCGCCCCGGCCCCGCACCGCGACCCGCCCCGCCCGUCCCCGCCCGUCCCCGCCCGUCCCCGCGGCCGGGGGCGGACACGGCGGGGGAACGGCGCCCUCCGGUACCCUCAGGGCCCCCACGGAGCGGGGAGGGCCGGAGGGAAGGGGGGGCUGCGAGAAGGAGGGGGCGGGGCGGAGCGAGGCUCCACCAAUCAGCGCGCGGCGGUUUCAAGAAGCCCCUUCCGCGCCCCGCCCCGCCCGCGCGGCGCCGCGCGGCCCCCGGGGGGGACACGGGCCGAGGGGGGAGGGACACGGGCCGGGAGAGGGACCGGGGUCCGGCCCCGCUGCCCACCCUGCUGCCCGCCUUCCUGCUGGCGUGGGGGAGGGGAGGAGCGGGAAGGCAUCGCACCCACGCGUGCCCGCGCCCGUGGCCGCGGGGGUUCGGGUGCUGCCAGCGCAGGGCUUCGCCUCCGCGUCCCGGGCUGCCGGGCCAGGGUGGCACUCGCCCCCUGGUUAUGGUGGGGACGCCCCCCAGGCCUUUAUUAAUAAUGCAGUAUUAUUAA
RNAcentral lists this long non-coding RNA (1122 nucleotides) under Corvus moneduloides (New Caledonian crow). Its description in RNAcentral is "lncRNA (ENSCMUG00000018244.1)". The record is from RNAcentral. Lineage: Eukaryota; Metazoa; Chordata; Aves; Passeriformes; Corvidae.